UUAAAGAGGCAGAGUCGUUAGCAGCAAUCUUUGUACUCCAGAACUGCGUAGCCAGCGCAGGGCCAGGAGUCACCCGUUAGAUUAAGGUUUGACUUGACUAUUAUAUUUCCUUAGGCUUGACUUCCUGUUCAAGGUCACCCAUGACAGAGGCUUGACCAUAGCAGAGAUCUCUACCCAUGGCAUGAUAUUGACACCCUUCGAUCUGGGGUUACAGGAUAGACCCCAUUAGUUCAGAUACGGGGCAUGUCAGUUAAGUGAGAACUCCCACAGUAAUAGUUUCAGUAUCAGUCUUCAGAGUAGGACUUCAAAAUUAGGACUGUCAGAUACAAUCAUCAAUCCCUGUGAGGAACUCAUAUAGUUCCAUAGAUUCAUAGACCACCUGCUAGAUAGGCUUAGUCUCAUAUAAAUUUAUUCAGUAUCAGUACCUACAGAGGACACCCGUCAUAUAGGCUUGAUCUCAAUCUCAGAUUCAGUUGAGUAUUCUUACUAUCAGUUCUAGAGAUCAGCCGUUAGUAAGGCUUGAUCUCAAGCCUAGGCAAUCUUAAUCCUCAUUAGCAGAUUUAGAGAUCAACCUGCUAUAUAGGUUUGAUCUCAGAUUCAACUAAUUAAUAUCAGUUAUCGAUAGACUCAGUUAUCUAGUUUAUAAGUAUUAAUAAGUACAGAUAUCAAUUUUAGUACUAUCAGAUAUGUAUAAUCUCAAUAUAUUUAGAAACCUCAGAUUGAUGGUAUAUUUAGUAUAAUUAUCAGAUUCAGUCCCAGUAUUCUCAGUCACAUUAUGCAUAGUAUGUUAAAUAGUUACAGAUUCUCUAUGUUUGCUAAUCCAGCUCUUGCAUAUCAUUCAGUUAGUUAUUGUUCAUUCAUAAGCCCUAGCAUUUAGCCUUACCUCAUUUCCAUACUCAUUAUAGUCCUGUAUUGAUGCAUUUCCACUAUGGUAUUUUAUUUGAAGCCAUAGGUUCAAAAGCAUGAGCCCCAGAGCACUCUUAGCAGUCCAAAUCUAGUCAGCAGCAGUAGAUGUAGCAGUGAUUCCUCUUCAUUAAAGGAUGAUCCUUAUUUUUUAUAUCUCAUUAUAUUUAUAUCAUUUUCAUUAGAAGGAGUUAGUUGGGACAUGUCCCAUCAACUUCACAGUUCAGACAGUUAGAGGUUUUUCAGAUAGAUGUAUUAGUAUUCAGUUUUUAAUUUUGAGUAUUUUUAGACAUUUUGAAACUUAUGGAAAGUUUUUUCCAUCUUUCCGUAUUUAUAUUUAUAUAUUAUGUAGUGUACAGGAACAGAUAUCAGUCUUGGGUUAGCUUGUGGUCCUUCAGGGUCAUGAGCAUUAUGUAGCAUCCCAGUUUGGAAAAUCAGGGUGUUACAGGUAUACUCCCAAUGGCCCUUGAAAAUACGGAUGACUUAAUGUUUUCCAUACCCAUUUUCACUCAUUACCGCAUCAAGUCUCCAAAGUGAACAACCUCUGAUUAAUGGAACAAUGUAGGCAAGAAAGUUGGCAAAAUGGAUCCGUAACUUUAGGAAAAGGAUUGGCUCUAAGGGCUAGGCAUGGGGAUCCCAGUCCCAAACUCGUCGGCUAUCAGGGGACUGCGCGAGAUGCUCCUAUAGUGAGAACGGGUCUCCACGGGCCGUACGGGGGAUAGACUGGGAAUGAUUCCGUUAGGGGCCUUCCCCGCGCGUCGAACAGCCAACUCAAAAAUGGUACAAACAAGGAGAAUCCAACUGUUUAAUUAAAACAAAGCAUUGCGAUGGUCACAAUAGAAGUUCAUGCAAUGUGAUUUCUGCCCAGUGCUCUAAAUGUAAAAGUAAAGAAAUUCAACCAAGCGCGAGUAAACGAUGGGAGUAACUAUAAUCUCUUAAGGUAUCCAAAUGCCUCGUCAUCUAAUUAUUGAUACACAUGAAUAGAUUAACGAGAUUCCCACUGUUCCUAUCUACUAUACAGUGAAAACACAGCCAAGGAAAUGGGCUUGGCAGAAUCAGUGAGGAAAGAGGACCCUAUUAGGCUUGACUCUAGUGUGACUUUGUGAAAUGACUUAAGAGGUGUAGUAUAAGUGGAAGGCAAAAGGCAAAAGUGAAAUACCACUACUUUUAACAUUAUUUUACUUAUUUCGUAAAAUCAAAAGUGGGGCACUGCCCCUCUUUUUGGACCUAAGGCUCACUUUGUGGGCCGAUCUGGGCGAAAAACAUUGAUAGGUGUAGAUUUUGGCUGGGGCAGCAAAUCUUUUAAAAGAUAACGCAGGUGUCCUAAUAUGAGCUUAACGAGAUUAGAAUUCUCAUAUGGAAUAGAAGGGUAAAAGCUCAUUUGAUUCUAAUUUCCAGUACAAAUACGAACUGGGAAAGCAUGGCCUAACGAUCACUUAGACCUUUGAAAUUCGAAGCUAGAGGUAUCAAAAAAGUUACCACAAUUAUAAAUAUCUUGUGGCAGCCAAGCAUUCAUAGCGACUUUGCUUUUAUAUCAUUCGAUGUCAGCUCUUUCUAUCAUUGUGAAGUAGAAUUCACUAAGUAUUGGAUUAUUCACCCACCAAUAGGGAAUGUGAGCUAGGUUUAGACCGUUGUGAGACAGGUUAGUUUUACCCUACGGAUGAUAGUGUCGCAAUAAUAAUUCAACCUAGUAUGGGAGGAACUGUUGAUUCACAAAAUUGGUCAUUGCACUUGGUAGAAAAGCCAGUGGUGCGAAGCUACUAUGUGCUGGAUUAUGAUUAAACGCCUGAUAUUCCAGCUUUUAUUUGAGAUGUCAAGUGAUUUACUGAAGAAAUUAUAGCUGAAAUAGUUAGGCCAUUUCAAACUAUUCAAGUUUGGAUGGAUAACAUGGAAACUCGCAUAAACAAAAGGCUAGAUUUGUUAUCU
This 2829-nucleotide ribosomal RNA is filed under the name Capsicum chinense (habanero). RNAcentral describes it as "bacterial LSU rRNA". The stretch from base 1455 to 2829 matches the Rfam family "Eukaryotic large subunit ribosomal RNA", at positions 1890 to 3267 of the family's 3401-position model. Lineage: Eukaryota; Viridiplantae; Streptophyta; Magnoliopsida; Solanales; Solanaceae. The record is from RNAcentral.